GACGAACGCUGGCGGCGUGCUUAACACAUGCAAGUCGAACGGAAAGGCCCCUUUGUUGGUCCUCGAGUGUUGCACGGGUGAGUAACACGUGCGUAACCUUCCCUUGACUUUGGGAUAACUUCAGCUAACUGGGGCUAAUACUGGAUAGGAAUCCUUGCUGCAUGGGGGGGGUUGGAAAGCUUCGGCGGGUUUUGGUGGACUCGCGGCUUAUCGGCUCGCUGGUGGGGUUGUGGGUUACCAAGGCUUCUUCGGGUAGCCGGCCUGAGGGGGCGACCGGCCACAUAGGGACUGAGGUACGGCCCAGGCAGCUACGGGAGGGAGAAGUGGGGAAGAUUGAAGGAUGGGCGGAAGGCUGAUGCAGAAGGGCCGCGGGCGGGAUGACGGCCUUCGGGUUGUAAAACGCAUUCGGCAGGAGCGAAGCUUGUGGUGACGGUACCUAAAGAAGAAGCACCGGCUAACUACGUG
Molecule: ribosomal RNA, 465 nt
Filed under: uncultured bacterium
Lineage: Bacteria
Description: partial 16S ribosomal RNA
Rfam family: Bacterial small subunit ribosomal RNA
Source: RNAcentral